RNAcentral lists this ribosomal RNA (460 nucleotides) under uncultured bacterium. Its description in RNAcentral is "partial 16S ribosomal RNA". It matches the Rfam family "Bacterial small subunit ribosomal RNA", at positions 338 to 795 of the family's 1533-position model. The record is from RNAcentral.
CCUACGGGAGGCAGUAGUGAGGAAUAUUGGUCAAUGGGCGCGAGCCUGAACCAGCCAAGUAGCGUGAAGGAUGACUGCCCUACGGGUUGUAAAAUUCUUUUAUAAAGGAAUAAAGUGAGGCAGGUGUGCCGUGUGGUAGGUACUUUAUGAAUAAGGAUCGGCUAACUCCGUGCCAGCAGCCGCGGUAAUACGGAGGAUCCGAGCGUUAUCCGGAUUUAUUGGGUUGAAAGGGAGCGUAGAUGGGUUGUUAAGUCAGUUGUGAAAGUUUGCGGCUCAACCGUAAAAUUGCAAUUGAUACUGGCAGUCUUGAGUACAGUUGAGGUAGGCGGAAUUCGUGUUGUAGCGGUGAAAUGCUUAGAUAUCACGAAGAACUCCGAUUGCGAAGGCAGCUUACUAAACUGCCACUGACAUUGAUGCUCGAAAGUGUGGGUAUCAAACAGGAUUAGAUACCCUGGUAGUC